AGCCUUUUCUGGUCGCUCAGUUCGGGCUGUGCUCUCCUGUCUUGCACUGGCACUUGUGACUGUGCUAGCAUAGCUGGGCAGAGAGCUUAGCCCUCUCUACAUGGAGCCUUCCCCAGCCAGGCUCAGCUGCCCCUCAGUGGCACCUCUGCCUUGUUCCUACCAGUCACUAUGAAGGAGGUUCAGAGAGAGGGUGGUGCUGGGUGGUUGCCUACCAUCACCUUUCCUUUCCCACCUGCUCACCCUGCAGCCUCUGGACAUCUCGGAUGCUCCCUGAGAGUCCUGGGAUCUCUGGGCAGUCAUGGUGGAGGGGGUUAAUAAGGAAUUGCUGUGUCUAGCUAGGAGUCUGGGAGGGUUGGUACCUAAGAAUGGCUCCAGCUCCUGCCCACCCACCCCCAUCUCCCUUCACUUCCACUUAUUCACUUACCCUCAUUUAGAGCCAUUGCAGAGAUUUAGAAAGAUUUACAGUAACGAAUGAAUUCCUAUAUAAAGAUUAUUUUUAUACUUUUUUCAACAAAAGGAAAUGUAAUAUUUGUACAGCAUUCAAGUGAAUAAAGACAUGCCUAAGGCU
Molecule: long non-coding RNA, 568 nt
Filed under: Mus musculus (house mouse)
Lineage: Eukaryota; Metazoa; Chordata; Mammalia; Rodentia; Muridae
Description: long non-coding RNA chr8:105304801-105305369
Source: RNAcentral